Molecule: ribosomal RNA, 253 nt
Filed under: uncultured bacterium
Lineage: Bacteria
Description: partial 16S ribosomal RNA
Rfam family: Bacterial small subunit ribosomal RNA
Source: RNAcentral
UACGGGGGGGGCAAGCGUUGUUCGGAAUUACUGGGCGUAAAGGGCUCGUAGGCGGCCAACUAAGUCAGACGUGAAAUCCCUCGGCUUAACCGGGGAACUGCGUCUGAUACUGGAUGGCUUGAGUGUGGGAGAGGGAUGCGGAAUUCCUGGUGUAGCGGUGAAAUGCGCAGAUAUCAGGAGGAACACCGGUGGCGAAGGCGGGUCUCUGGGCCGAAAUUGACGCUGAGGAGCGAAAGCGUGGGGAGCAAACAGG